AGAGGGAUAGCUGGGUCAAAUGGUGGUUCCAUUCCCAGAUUUCCAAGGAAUCUCCAUAUUGCUUUCUAUAUUGGCUGCACCAAUGUGCAGUCCCACCAGCAAU
This 103-nucleotide microRNA precursor is filed under the name Marmota monax (woodchuck). Lineage: Eukaryota; Metazoa; Chordata; Mammalia; Rodentia; Sciuridae. The record is from RNAcentral.